UACCCGCAGCACAAGUGGUGGUCAUUAUUAUUGGGCCUAAAGCGUCCGUAGCUGGCUUGUUAGAUGCCUGGGUAAAUCGAUGCGCUCAACGUAUCGAACUCCGGGUAGACCGGCAAGCUUGGGACCGGGAGAGGCGUGAGCUACUCGAGGGGUAGGGGUAAAAUCCUGUAAUCCUUCGGGGAGGACCAGUGGCGAAGGCGAAUCCCUGGAAAAUACCUGACACUGAGGCACGAAAGCUAGGGGAGCAAACAGG
RNAcentral lists this ribosomal RNA (253 nucleotides) under uncultured bacterium. Its description in RNAcentral is "partial 16S ribosomal RNA". It matches the Rfam family "Archaeal small subunit ribosomal RNA", at positions 474 to 727 of the family's 1478-position model. The record is from RNAcentral.